RNAcentral lists this ribosomal RNA (375 nucleotides) under uncultured bacterium. Its description in RNAcentral is "bacterial SSU rRNA". It matches the Rfam family "Bacterial small subunit ribosomal RNA", at positions 524 to 898 of the family's 1533-position model. The record is from RNAcentral.
UACGUAGGGGGCAAGCGUUGUCCGGAAUCAUUGGGCGUAAAGGGCGCGUAGGCGGACUUAUAAGUCUGAUGUGAAAGUGCGGUGCUUAACGCCGUAAAGCAUUGGAAACUGUGAGUCUUGAGGACAGGAGAGGAAAGUGGAAUUCCACGUGUAGCGGUGAAAUGCGUAGAGAUGUGGAGGAACACCAGUGGCGAAGGCGACUUUCUGGACUGUAACUGACGCUGAGGCGCGAAAGCGUGGGGAGCGAACAGGAUUAGAUACCCUGGUAGUCCACGCCGUAAACGAUGAAUGCUAGGUGUAGAGGGUAUCGACCCCUUCUGUGCCGCAGUUAACACAAUAAGCAUUCCGCCUGGGGAGUACGGCCGCAAGGUUGAA